Molecule: long non-coding RNA, 514 nt
Organism: Triticum dicoccoides
Lineage: Eukaryota; Viridiplantae; Streptophyta; Magnoliopsida; Poales; Poaceae
Exons: 3
Source: RefSeq, a predicted model, not a curated record
AAGGAAUUCAGCCCAUUGUAGCCCAGUUGAAGCCGACGCGCACGCCACCCAUCCCACCCUGCUUCGCAUUUCUCAAAAAAAAAAAAAAUCUGCUUCGCUUCGUCUCGGCGGAGGAGCGUCAGUGCCGCCGCGCCCAGAUCGCUCCCGCGGCUCCGCUCCCUCUCUUCGCUUCUCUCUGCCACCAGUGGCGUUCUGUUUCGAUCCUAUCCUAUGGCGCCACCUCCCCCCACUCUCUUCCCCAAAAUGUCGCCAUCUCCCGCUAGGGUUUCGCUGAAGCUUGGCUACAUCAUUUUAUAUCAGGUCAACUUGAGCAACAGAACAAGAAUGAAAAUGACUGAAGUAGGGGAACCAAAGCGUUUCAUGCACCGAUCUGAUACAUGAACCCACAGUAUUGGUUUUGAUUCUGCCUGAUAAUGUGUGGGUGUAAUAACACUUGUCAAUGUGCCCCAUACAUGUAUUGAUUAUCAGGCGCCGCAAGACAUGGGCCGUGGGUGCCAAAUGAUCGAAGAGACCA